Long non-coding RNA from Canis lupus familiaris (dog), 2683 nucleotides. RefSeq lists it as uncharacterized. The transcript is spliced from 3 exons. Lineage: Eukaryota; Metazoa; Chordata; Mammalia; Carnivora; Canidae. The record is from RefSeq and is a predicted model, not a curated record.
AGGUGGGGCACGUGCCACAGCUCAAGAUGGGAGCAGGAGAGAAAAUUUCUCACCUGCCACAUUUCUACUCCUUGGUUUAAAAUGUGAACAAUCUUCUUACAAAAUGAGGAAGCUCUACCCAACUGUGCUCCUUUGUCUCUCAAGGCAACCACUAGAUUAAUCCUGUGAGGCAGAAAGCUUCCCCUUCCACCUGCAGCCUCCAGUCUUCUCCGGGAGGGUCGUGUGGCAUCUCUGUCACAACUGCACGGUCCCUAAGAUGGCAGGCUAAUUGCCUCGAGGAUCAAGCUUGUCUUCACACAAGGCCACUUAAAGACUCAAGGGCACAGUAUACCUGUUUCUGCUAUGGUUGCCAUGCUUGGGUUCUGAUGAUUCUCUUUCAUGGCUGACUUGAUCCACUGUUGACUGAGCUCUGUUAAAUCAAAUGUGUCCUGUACAAGCACCAGGCCCUCUGCAAGUACCCCUACAGAGGAAGAGAAGAAGGAAAGAUUUGUUGAGAUGGAGACCGCAGAAGCAGAUAGCAGCGAUCCCUGGCUGCAGCCCGGAGACGCUGGAGGAAGGCGCGAAAGGUUACGUGAAAGAGGAUCAUUAAUAUUCAUGGCAGCAUCUGGCACUAUGUUGCCAGGAGACAGUAAUGAGAACAGAGCAUCUUCCAGGUCUAAUGGCACUGCGGCUGCCACAUCAAUCCCAACGUCCUCAGAAAUGAGAUCUCUAUCAUUUGCAAACAGGGAAACGUUGGUGGCUUGGCUGUCAUUCCAGAAGGUCACUAAAAGAUAUGCAGAUGAGCUGCCCAUAUUUCUUGGGCUCAUACCCACCAGGUUCCCUGCACUGCUUCGCCUUUUCAGGGACACCAUCUGACAAGGCAAAUUAUACAGGGGUAGAGGGAACUGGGUAUCUGCUCUUGACCCUGGGAACACUUUGUGAACUUCUGUCCUCAUUGAUUGGGUUUCCCUACAGAGAGUUGCUACAUGAACUUCUUUGGAGGAAUUUAUCCUUGUCAAUUUUGUGCUCUCAAAACUUGUGUGAACAUUUUAGCUUCCCCAGCUGUAAGCUCUAAGCCCUGUUCUUCCUCAGUUUCUCCCAGGAACAGGCCCUAAAACAAAGAUUCAAUUUACAGUGUUCAUUACUUCCCCUUGUUAUGGGGAUUCUAAGUGGGAGAGUCAUUUCAAGAUCUCAUCUGUGUCUACUCACUCCCUACUGGGGCCAGAGCUUUUCCUUACAUGUUUAGGGGCCAAGUAGGUAUAAAGCUCCUUUUACAUUUGUAUCAAAAAUUCUCAGUUCCCUACCAUUUUAAAACACACCUUCCCAUGUUAUGCUCAGCACAACUUGGCGGAUUAUUUAUUUUGUGUUUGCUACGUAUGGAUGUGGACACAUGGUAAACAAAAUUCAAGGUAGAAUUAUCUUCCAGUAGGGUGGUGAGGAAAACAGACAAUGAGCAAACAUAUACAUAAGUUCAUUUCUUCAUUCAUUUAGUCAUAGUUUCAGCAAAAAGUUAUUGAUCACCUAUUCUGUUUGAGGCAUCCUUCUAUGCCUGGAGAUGCAGCAUAGAAUGAAACAAAAUUCUGCUUUCUUAAAGAUUAUGACUUAGGAGGGGACAAUGAAAGCUUAAAAAUAGAAAUCCAUCAUAAGUGGAAAUAAAUUCAAUGAACCAAAAUAAGACAAGAAGAAUGCUUGAGGCAUGGCUAUACUAUUUUACCUGGUGAUCAGGGAAGCCCUCUCAGAGGAGGUGACGUUGAGCAAAAACAUGAAGAAGUCACCAAACACUGGCACACUGAGCCAGCUCAUAUAGGCUCCCAGGAACUGAUCGGGCACAGCUCUUCUCAACUUCCUGUUCAAUGACGUCAUGUUGGAAGCUUAAAAUCAACCACCGUGGAUUUGUACACCACAGAUCAGUAAAUGCUAUGAAUCGUGACUUUUUUUUCGGUCAGCUAUUAAGUAUUUAUCAAUACCCAAUUGCAUGCAAAUACCCAGGGAAGGAGUCUUUUUGGCAGAAAGAGCAUCCGGUAUGAAGGCCCUUGGAUUGCAAGAAUGCUUUAUUAGUUGAGAAAUGUCAAAAGGAUACUAUGUCUAGGACAGUGGUCCUCACCACCUACGACAUUUUUAGACUUACAAAUUUUGGGGCUCCACCUCAGACCUACUGAAUUGGAAACUCUGAGGCCCAGAAAUCUGUAUUAAAAACCCUCCCAGUGACUCUGCUGCAGAAGAAAGUUUGACAACCACUAGUCUAGACUAAGCACAGUUGCCAACCAGGUGAGUAGUGGGAAGCAAGAUUAGAGAAUGAUGGCUGAUCACAGGGGCCUUCUGGCUCUGAUAAGGACUUGUGAUGGUCAAUUUUAUGCAUCAAUUUGACAGGACCACAGUGACCAGAUAUUUGGUCAAACAUUAUUCUGGAUGUUUCUGUGAGAGUGUUUUUGGAUAAGAUUUACAUUUAAAUUGCUGGAUUUUGAGAAAAACAGAUUGUGUCUCACAAUGUAGGUGAUCCUCAUUCAAUUAGUUGAAGGCCUUAACAGAACAAAAGACUGACUUCCUUGAGCAACGAGCAGCUCUGCCAGCAAAUGGCCUUUGGAUUUGAGCGACUGUAAUAGCUCUUCCUUGGGUCUUUAGCAUGAUGAUCCACCCUGUAGAUUUUGAUGUUGCCAGCCUCUGUAAUCACGCAAGUCAAUUCCUUAGAAUAAAUCUUUUUCUC